This 404-nucleotide unclassified non-coding RNA is filed under the name soil metagenome. RNAcentral's name for it is "partial contains 5.8S ribosomal RNA, internal transcribed spacer 2, and large subunit ribosomal RNA". The stretch from base 1 to 121 matches the Rfam family "5.8S ribosomal RNA", at positions 35 to 154 of the family's 154-position model. The record is from RNAcentral.
GAUGAAGAACGUAGUGAAAUGCGAUAAGUAAUGUGAAUUGCAGAAUUCAGUGAAUCAUCGAAUCUUUGAACGCACCUUGCGCCCUUUGGCCAUUCCGAAGGGCAUGCCUGUUUGAGUAUCAUGAACACCUCAACUCUUUAUGGUUUUCCAUGAUGAGCUUGGACUUUGGGGGUUUUGCUGGCCUAUGGUCGGCUCCUCUAAAAUAAAUCAGCUUACCGGUGUUUGGUGGGUAUCAUGGGUGUGAUAACUAUCUACGCUUGUGGUUUUUCCACCAGGUAACCUUCGACAGCGGAGGUUCACUGGAGCUCAUAGAUGUCUCUCCUCAGCGAGGACAGCCCUUUGAAUGUUUGAUCUCAAAUCAGGUAGGACUACCCGCUGAACUUAAGCAUAUCAAUAGCGGAGGA